RNAcentral lists this ribosomal RNA (239 nucleotides) under uncultured bacterium. RNAcentral describes it as "partial 16S ribosomal RNA". It matches the Rfam family "Bacterial small subunit ribosomal RNA", at positions 95 to 334 of the family's 1533-position model. The record is from RNAcentral.
CCGGCGCACGGGUGAGUAACGCGUAUGCAACUUGCCUAUCAGGAGGGGAUAACCCGGCGAAAGUCGGACUAAUACCGCAUGAAGCAGGGGCCCCGCAUGGGGAUAUUUGCUAAAGAUUCAUCGCUGAUAGAUAGGCAUGCGUUCCAUUAGGCAGUUGGCGGGGUAACGGCCCACCAAACCGACGAUGGAUAGGGGUUCUGAGAGGAAGGUCCCCCACAUUGGUACUGAGACACGGCCAA